GGUGCCUAAGAAUAACUCCGCUUACCUUCAGACGCAACUUACGGUAAAGCGUGAAUUCACUGCCCCCUUUCCCGGCCUGUUGAGGGCUUCUGUUAAAUCCCCGGCCCCCCGGUGGAUUAUAGGUGUUAAACAUGUGUUAAAGCCCCUGCAUGACUGCGUUACUUCCCCGGUAUGCCCCGGGGGUCGGGGGGCCGGGCUGUCAAUUGACUGGUGCAUUAGGUUUAUGAUGAGGUUCAAAAUCUUGUGACAGAGUUGACAGCUCUGGUAACUUAUAUUUAAUUCAUUCAUGAAUAGUAGUUAUAAUUUUCCUAUGAUAGAUGGUGAAUGGCAGAUUUAGAGAUCGAACUUGAUAAAUACAGCCUAGAAUAUUUAUUUCCUGAGGUAAGUACUUAAAGUAAAUUAAAUUCAACAAAGAAAAAGGUGUUCAAAGUUUGAAAACAAAACAACCCCGAAAGAUACUUUCGUUCCGCUAAGUACUUUAAUGCAAUUCGCUAACUUACCUACGUCUGCCAGUGCAAGAACAAAUACAUAUGAGCACUUGUCGGAGAAGGUGUCUAUAAAAUUACCUUGUUUUUUCUUUCUUUAUCUUGUGGCUUACUCUGACAUUUCAGCUGACCUUGACUCGAGCACAAGACUUGACUUUUCAAAACUUUCAACCAUGCUUUUACACAGUCUUUUGCACAUAAUUAGACAAGUUUAUAUCCGUGGUUAGCAUUCCCACGAAUGAUUUUUUCCAAGCACUUAUUUUUCGACAAUUCUUGGCUUUCUGCAGUCAGUUUUCGUGUGUUUUUGCGAGGGGCAGAAAUACUCAUCCGCCAUAUUGUUUUGCGCGCUCUGGAGGCCUGUGCCGAGGCAGAUCGCGGCUGGCUAGCAGCUUCACGUAUGCAAAACGACUGCGCAUGCGCUAGGUUGGAAUUUUAGAUUCAACAAAGAUGGCGGCGGACGCCUGGUGGAUAAUCCAGCCAAAUACUGCCAGGUUUCUACUCAGAACUCAAUAAUUACUUCGGAAUAAGACGACUUUAUUGACUUAGAGUAUCAAUGUGACUCAAAGGGUGGAUAAUUGUGCUCGGAUUUGUUUUAUUAUGUACGAAUUUUCGUAAACUCGUAAUGCCGUUCGCCUCGAAGAACGAGAAAUCCUGACUCGUGCGAGUUGUGGUAUCAAUAUCUAACAAAUGUGAGGGAGUGAUGUGACAUUUGCUGCUUGAUCUGAGAAAGAAAUUCUUCACGACUCUCUAUUGGAGCCAUGCCGAUCAUGGCUCCGAAUUGUGAGUGGGUCCAUCAUGUAUAGCUUUCCAGGAUGUUUUACAAAACAGACAGUCAUCCAUUACAAAUCACCAACGCUGCCAAGUUAGACUCUCAAUCUAGUCCUGGAGGUAAAACGCUAGCGAACUCUGUGGUACUUGAGGGUCAGUGCAUUAUAGUGAAAUGUCAAAUCUAUCCUCUAGUAUAGCUGAUCCACUCGGGGAACCAAGUAGUGGAGCUAAAUCGCUUUUGGCAGAUUCUACACUGAGGCAGCUUCUAUAUUUCCUUGUGUCGUGGUAUUGUACGUUUGGUUCCCCCUUGCAAUAGCUGUGACAAGUAAAGAGAUCCAUGGAGUACUUAGGGGGGAAUUGCUGUCCAAUCGAUAACUGUCACGAUUGUUUCCUCAAUGGACUCAAAAAGGAGAAAUGACAGAUCAAUGCAAAGGGGAGGGGGUGUGGCAUCAUUUGCUUUUUGUGCCCUCCUGCCAAUCCCCACCCUCAUCCCCCCACUCUACCCUUGGGUGAUUGAAGAAUCUUAAUAAUUAUCUUUAUUUUGAUAUAAGCUAGUCAUUAUUUACUCCCAUUGUUCGGUAUUUAAAACUACAUCUCCUCUGUCAUUUUUUCUGGCUUCACCAACGGGGGUCAUCAGGGCAGGAGAGGGGGUCUAGGGGGUUUCUCAUCAAUAUUCCGUAGUUUGUCAGGCACUCUAGUCGGAACAGUAAAGUUUUGAUAUGCUUUCGCAUAUUAUUUAAUGAGGUUAGGGGAUCUUGGGAGGGAUUUUGCAAUGAGUCGCACAAGCGAAUCACAGGUGAACGGGUAGUCUCCAAUAUCUGUAAACAACAAAAUACAUAUUAUAAUAACAUAUUUUUUUUGUUAUGUCACAAUUGAAAACAAUUUACACAACCAUGUAUAAUAUACUUGCA
Nematostella vectensis (starlet sea anemone) is the source of this 2164-nucleotide long non-coding RNA. RefSeq lists it as uncharacterized. The record is from RefSeq and is a predicted model, not a curated record. The transcript is spliced from 2 exons. NCBI's taxonomy places the organism in Eukaryota, Metazoa, Cnidaria, Anthozoa, Actiniaria, Edwardsiidae.